RNAcentral lists this long non-coding RNA (2627 nucleotides) under Olea europaea (common olive). RNAcentral describes it as "long non-coding RNA (OEUR_LNC003679)". The record is from RNAcentral. Lineage: Eukaryota; Viridiplantae; Streptophyta; Magnoliopsida; Lamiales; Oleaceae.
AUGCGAGGUCGUGGAGCUUGCCUUGAACAAUAGAAUCUAUAUUUUCCAUCUCAAUAUAUCAUGCUCGAACCAUGCUCCAGAUCAUUGAUGGUAAAAAGCUCAUGUGAACUUAAUCCUAUAAUGCAACAGGACAUGCCAACUUUGUGAUCAUUUGUGCUUGUUAAGAGUAAUAAAUCAAUGUGUUAAUUCAUCGCUUUUCUUUUUGAAAGUUGGAAUUCCAGAUAGUAGCUAUUGAGAGUCAAAGAAGCAAAAAGUAGAAACUAUAAUUAAAAAGAUUACUCCCCUUUUCAUGUACUAUAUUUUUGCUGACUGCAUCAAUAGCCAUGGCUGGAGAUUGGCGGCAGAUUAUUUCAGGUUUGCCAUUUAAUCAAACAGUUGGAGGUAAUGUGGAGAUAAGAGAAGAAGUUGAAAUUAUUUGAAGCACCAAACUAGCUUUGCUUGCCAAUAGUGAAUAACAAAUGGAGCUUUAAAAGGUUAGAAUUGACCUCGUUUUCUCCAUAUUGCAGUGAAUAGAAGUCCUCAAAUGAGCUAAUUAUGAAGCCGUAUAAUUUUACCUAGUGCUUGCCCAAAGAAACAAAUAAAAGCAGCCCACUUAACAAGUCUCUAAUGGGAGAGAAGCUGUAGUGGCCCAAAAGAAUAUGGAACAAAUGUCCACCUUGAAGGACACAAGCUGGAAAAUUAUAAGGCCCAUAGUAAAAUAUCAAGCCCAUAUUUUUUAGAGAAGAUCCAUCAAAUGAGUUAGCUGACCCGCCCCAAAUGUGUUGAUACAUUUGGACGGCAGGAAAGGCAGCAAAGGUACCACUUAUUCUGCCAAAAAGCCUAUUACAUAGCCAGCAAAAAUCUGCAAAAGAUUGAAAUUGACAACCCACNACUGAGGCGAUGACCCACAGGGGACGACGCGUCAGGCACGUCUAAUCGUUGUAAAGCUAAGUGAGGAGCUCAUCUGCCACCGAUACGAUGACCCACAAGGGACGACGCGUUGGGAGAUAGCUAAAGCUUUGUAAAGCUCAGGGGGGAACGCAGCGAUUGAGGCGAUGACCCACAAAGGACUCCGCCUCAGGUGUGUCUAAGCUUUGUAAAGCUGAUUAAGGAGCUCAUCUGCGACUGAUACGGGAGAUGGUUGAAGGUCGGUAAAGCUUUUGCAACGGUAUAGCCAAGGCGAUGACCCACAUGGGACUCUGCGUCGGGAGGGUUAAAACUUUAUCAAGCUACGGACAGCAUUUGGUGAGGUAGGAGAUAGACAUCUCGCGAAUAAGUCUCGAACUAUCAGAGGCUUAGUGACUUGCCUCGGAAUGACGAGGACUUAGAGUCAGGCUCGACAAUAGUGAGAAGUGAGGAAGACGUCUUGCGGAGCCUUAAAUAAACAUUUGACAAUAUGCCGAACUGUCGAAGUCUUAUAAGCUGACCUCAAAUAGACGAGAACUUAGAGCUAAGCUCGAUGAUAGUGAGGCGCGAGGAAAAGACAUCUUGCGAAGCCAGGGAUGAACACCUGGUGAAUUGUCGAACUAACGAAGUCUUAUAAGCUUUCCUCGAAUAGAUGAGGACUUAGAGCAAGGCUCGGCGAUAGUGAGGCGCGAGGAAAAGACAUCUCGCAAAGCCAGGGAUGAACACCUGGUGAAUUGUCAAACUAACGGAGUCUUAUAAGCUGGCCUCGAAUAGACAAGGACUUAGAGCUAGGCUUGACGAUAGUGAGGCAGGGAAUAAGCAUCCCGCGAAGCCAGGGAUAAACAUUUGGCGAAGUGUCAAACGAUCGGAGUCUUAUAAGCUGGCCUCGGAUAGACUAGGACUUAGAGCUAAGCUCGACGAUAGUGAGGCACGAGGCAAAGAUAUCUCGCGAAGCCAGGAGUGAAUUGUCGAACUAACGGAGUCUUAUAAGCUGGCCUUGGAUAGACGAGGACUUAGAGCUAAGCUCGACGAUGGUGAGGCGUGAGGAAAAGAUAUCUCGCGAAGCCAGGGAUGAACACCUGGUGAAUUAUCGAACUAACGGAGUCUUAUAAGCUGGCCUCGGAUAGACGAGGACUUAGAACUAGGCUCAACGAUAGUGAGGCGGGGAAUAAGCCUCCCGCGAAGCCAGGGAUAAACAUCUGGCGAAGUGUCGAACGAUCGGAGUUUUAUAAACUGGCCUCGGAUUUACUAGGACUUAGAGCUAAGCUCGACGAUAGUGAAGCGGGGAAAAGCUAGGAAUAAUCAUCUGGCGAACUGUCGAACUAUCGGAGUCUUAUAAGCUGGCCUCGGAUAGACUAGGACUUAGAGCUAAGUUAGACGAUAGUGAGGCGGGGGAAAAGCAUCCCAAAGCCAGGAAUAAUCAUCUAGCGGGAACCGUUGAACUAUCGGAGUCUUAUAAGCUAACCUCGAAUAGACAAGGACUUAGAGCUAAGCUCGACGAUAGUGAGGCGGGGAGUAAUUAUCCCGCGAAACCAGGAAUAAACAUCUGGCGAUGCAAGGAAUAAACAUCUCGCAGGGCCAGGAAAGGCUCCUUUUUCAAGGACAAACACGUCUGACAAUUAGCCUCUUCCUUUAUUCAAGGAACGAGGGCUCCUAGAUUACUUCUUCCUUUACCAAGGAAAGAGGACUUCAAGGUAUCACCUUUUCCUUUAUUCAAAGAAUGAAGACUUAUAAAAUUUCGC